GAGGGUACAGCUCAGUGGUAGAGCACCUGCUUAGCAGACAUAAGGUCCUGGGUUCAAUCCCUAGUACCUCCU
RNAcentral lists this transfer RNA (72 nucleotides) under Camelus ferus (Wild Bactrian camel). It matches the Rfam family "tRNA". From Rfam's summary of the family: Transfer RNA (tRNA) molecules are approximately 80 nucleotides in length. Their secondary structure includes four short double-helical elements and three loops (D, anti-codon, and T loops). The record is from Rfam by way of RNAcentral. Lineage: Eukaryota; Metazoa; Chordata; Mammalia; Artiodactyla; Camelidae.